CAUUCUGAAUAAUUUGUUCUUGAAUAAAUUAUGGAAAUAAUUUGAUAAUUCCUAUGGAAAAGACACAUCUGCUCCCAAACAAGCUGGUAAUAAAAUCUCUUAUGUGGAUUCUUAAAAAUUUGGAAUAAUAAUGGAUUUAGGGAUUCAUGGGAAAUGAUUAAAAAUAAUAGAAAGGUUAUUUUAAAAUAAGAAUAGUCUCAAAAGGUCUAUACACUACAACGUGUGUGUGACACUGAGGAACAGCUGGAAAGCAGAGGGAUUCUCAAAAUACUGGAGCCACCACUGCACUGGAAGAGUCUGCCCCACUGUGGCACUGAAGAUGUCAAUGUCUCCUUUCCCUGAGGAGACCCUGUCUUUCCCUUGUCCUGACCUGGACCUCAUCUCCUGGCUACCACGUGCAAAGACCCACAAAGUUAACCUUCUACAGGUUUUCGGAAGCUGGACAGAGCUUGUUGUGGAAGUUCACAACCUAGCCAAAAUAAGCCAGCUGGAAAAUAGGAUGCCUGUCUCCUUGAUGCAGGAAAUUUAAAGAGAAGAUGUCAGGCUGAUUGCAAUUCCACCCAAACCUCUGCCGCGAAGAAACACGGGAGAGGAAUUUUCUAGAGCCUCUCAGCUGUCCCUAUGAGUAACAUGGAGGAGAAUCUCAUAGACUGGUCCCAGAAGAAGAACUGCGGCUGGAGGUGAGGUUUGCCAGGUGCCCAGGUUUCCCAGGAAGGCUCAGGCAGCCAUAUGGGAUAUUUUAGCACUACAAUUCAACCAUCACUGAAAGUGUUGACUCUCCUAAGAAGCUCGCUCCUGUCCAAGGUCAGAGAUGAUGAGGAGAGGCCAAACCUCUCUCUGGACAGUGGUUUUCACCCUAUAAUGAAUAUAGGGACCCCCUGGUGGGCAUGUGGAAAAUCUGUAGUCUACAGCUGCUCCCAGAGACUCUGGAUCAGUGGGUCUGGAGAAAGGCUGAAGAAUCUGCAUUUUAGCCAGAAGUCCAGGGGACACUGGUGACAGGUGGUCCUUGGACUAUAUGUUAGAAACAUUGCCUGAGGAAGUGAGGAAACAUAUAUUUAGCCAAGUGCACUGACAUCUUAAGACCUUCUCUUUAUGCAUGUUCAUGUUUUAAUGAGAUCCUCAUGGAAUAAGCACUCCCUUGUACUCAUUUUCAUCCUUACGUAAACAGUAUUCUAAUAAAUGUAGCUAUUACUUUGAGGUCCAACCAUUUGACAGCAGACAUGACAGUGCAGACACCUCUGAGACACUUCUUAGUCACAGACCAGCCCCCUGCCGUGCUUCUAUUUUAUGCUCCAGAUGCAGGAAUUGGGUUUUCUGCUCCUUUCUUGAAGUUGUCUUCACCCGUCCUUUCUGACCAGCGUCUUCUCCCUGCAGCCCUGCAGAAUAGGCGAUCCCAUUGCUCUUCCCCACUUAUCCUCUCUCUUAAAAAAUGCACAAGACAUUUCAGGUCUUCUUUGAAGGUUUAUCACAAGGAACAAUGAGGAAAAGACAAGAGGAAAAUAAAUAUGGACAUGGAACUGAAGAGAAAUCCCAUAGCCCCACGAAAGUUACUCCCAAAAUUCAGUUUUUCUGUUUAGCGGCUACUGACCCUACAACAAUACCUGUUUUGUUACUUCCCUCUCUGUUUCUUUCCUUCCUUCCUUCACUCUUUUCUUCCUUUCUUCUUCCUCCUUCCUCCCUCUUUCCCUUGCACAAA
This is a long non-coding RNA of Equus caballus (horse), 1696 nucleotides long. The record is from Ensembl. NCBI's taxonomy places the organism in Eukaryota, Metazoa, Chordata, Mammalia, Perissodactyla, Equidae.